Molecule: ribosomal RNA, 252 nt
Filed under: uncultured bacterium
Lineage: Bacteria
Description: partial 16S ribosomal RNA
Rfam family: Bacterial small subunit ribosomal RNA
Source: RNAcentral
GACGAGGGACCUAGCGUUGUUCGGAAUCAUUGGGCGUAAAGAGGGCGUAGGUGGCUUGGUAAGUCGGGUGUGAAAGCCCAGGGCUCAACCCUGGAAGUGCAUUCGAUACUGCUGAGCUUGAGUGUUGGAGAGGUCACUGGAAUACCUGGUGUAGUGGUGAAAUACGUAGAUAUCAGGUGGAACACCGGAGGCGAAGGCGGGUGACUGGCCAAACACUGACACUGAGGCCCGAAAGUGUGGGGAUCAAACAGG